RNAcentral lists this ribosomal RNA (273 nucleotides) under uncultured bacterium. RNAcentral's name for it is "partial 16S ribosomal RNA". It matches the Rfam family "Bacterial small subunit ribosomal RNA", at positions 523 to 796 of the family's 1533-position model. The record is from RNAcentral.
AUACGGAGGCUGCAAGCGUUAUCCGGAUUCAUUGGGUUUAAAGGGUGUGCAGGCGGACUUGUAAGUCAGUGGUGAAAUCCCGGGGCUCAACCUCGGAACUGCCAUUGAUACUGCAAGUCUUGAGUUUGGUUGAAGUGGGCGGAAUGUAGCAUGUAGCGGUGAAAUGCAUAGAUAUGCUACAGAAGACCGAUCGCGAAGGCAGCUCACUAACCAACACUGACGCUCAGGCACGAAAGCGUGGGGAGCGAACAGGAUUAGAAACCCCAGUAGUCC